GGCGCAGUUCGCCGGUCGCGGAGGUCGGCCUGCAAAGCCGUACCGUGCGAGUUCGACUCUCGCCUGCGCUUCCA
This 74-nucleotide transfer RNA is filed under the name Nonomuraea sp. PA05. Its description in RNAcentral is "tRNA-Cys". It matches the Rfam family "tRNA". From Rfam's summary of the family: Transfer RNA (tRNA) molecules are approximately 80 nucleotides in length. Their secondary structure includes four short double-helical elements and three loops (D, anti-codon, and T loops). The record is from RNAcentral. Lineage: Bacteria; Bacillati; Actinomycetota; Actinomycetes; Streptosporangiales; Streptosporangiaceae.